GUUGAAACACCAGUUCUCGUACGAAUUCCGAAGUUAAGCAACGUCGAGCUUGGUCAGUACCUAGAUGGAUAACCGCUUGGGAAUACCAGAUGCUGUA
Acanthosepion pharaonis is the source of this 97-nucleotide non-coding RNA. The record is from the annotation of a GenBank genome assembly. NCBI's taxonomy places the organism in Eukaryota, Metazoa, Mollusca, Cephalopoda, Sepiida, Sepiidae.